Molecule: unclassified non-coding RNA, 408 nt
Filed under: Hevea brasiliensis (rubber tree)
Lineage: Eukaryota; Viridiplantae; Streptophyta; Magnoliopsida; Malpighiales; Euphorbiaceae
Source: RNAcentral
CGGCCUCUCAACAUCUGCAUAGAUUCCUGGAAAUGAUAAGCAACCCUCAUUAUAAGGUAGAGUUCGUUUUGAGACUUUAUAUACUGUUGGGUUUAUAAGGGCGAUUUCCUCUCCUUCGCCACGUUCACCAACAGGAUUAAAUACCAUAAGAUGAACAUUGAUUCCUACUUGAGGUGCUGAGAGCCCAAUUCCAUCAGUCUUGUACAUGAUGUCAAACAUCUCUUCAACUAGCUUCUUCAGAUUAUCAUCGAAUGUGUUGAUAGGCUUGUUCCUCGCCCUCAGUAUAGGAUCCGGGUACUCAAUAAUCUUCAGCGGGACCUCGAAUUGAAAAUCAACAGCAGUAGCGAACUCGACUUCUUGGGAGGAAAACCCUCGCCGAGCCCGGCGGCCGACCUCCGUGUUCAGCGG